CAAGUUUUUAAAGUUAUGCGAUUGACACCUUGUAAUGGGUCCUUGACAACUUUUAACUGCAGCAAGAUGGCAGAUUAUCAGCAUAAAAGAAGCAGGGAUGUCGCUGUAACAACUGCACGUAUUGUUGGUCAUCACCAUUCCACUAUAAGUCGUUUUGAGAAUAAAACUCAGGCAAUAAACGCUGUUAAAGACCUUCCGAGAUAAUGAAGACC
RNAcentral lists this long non-coding RNA (212 nucleotides) under Mytilus galloprovincialis (Mediterranean mussel). Lineage: Eukaryota; Metazoa; Mollusca; Bivalvia; Mytilida; Mytilidae. The record is from RNAcentral.